RNAcentral lists this ribosomal RNA (348 nucleotides) under Triticum aestivum (bread wheat). RNAcentral's name for it is "partial small subunit ribosomal RNA". Lineage: Eukaryota; Viridiplantae; Streptophyta; Magnoliopsida; Poales; Poaceae. The record is from RNAcentral.
AUGCCCAUGUCAUGGUUUUCCUCCUCUCACUGCACCGCCACCUUGACCCAGUGCCAUCUAGUAGACAAUCUGGUACAAGUGCUUCGACUUCCACUUCUGAAAAAACUUGCGCUUGUGUUGGUUCAUCUGUCAGGGGCCUCACCACACAACAUCAUCCACUCCAGCUGCCCUGCACUGGAGCGUUUGGUGCUUGUUUUUGGAGCAGGAAUCGAUAUUCGUUGUCUCAAAAUUAAGUCGCCUCACCUUGUAAGCAUUAGAAUUAGUUUUGAGGACAGGAGCUCAUCAUUGAAGAUGCCCCUUCACUUCAAAGGUUGGUCCUUGAUUGUUGUUAUAAACCUAAGCAAAUAA